UACGGGGGGGGCAAGCGUUGUUCGGAAUUACUGGGCGUAAAGGGCUCGUAGGUGGCCAACUAAGUCAGACGUGAAAUCCCUCGGCUUAACCGGGGAACUGCGUCUGAUACUGGAUGGCUUGAGGUUGGGAGAGGGACGCGGAAUUCCAGGUGUAGCGGUGAAAUGCGUAGAUAUCUGGAGGAAUACCGGUGGCGAAGGCGGCAUCCUGGACCAUAACUGACGCUGAGGCGCGAAAGCUAGGGGAGCAAACGGG
Molecule: ribosomal RNA, 253 nt
Filed under: uncultured bacterium
Lineage: Bacteria
Description: partial 16S ribosomal RNA
Rfam family: Bacterial small subunit ribosomal RNA
Source: RNAcentral